Molecule: non-coding RNA, 201 nt
Organism: Cinara cedri
Lineage: Eukaryota; Metazoa; Arthropoda; Insecta; Hemiptera; Aphididae
Source: the annotation of a GenBank genome assembly
AAAUAUAUGAAAAUUGAACAUCGUAAGAAAAAUAUAUUUAACGAUAAACCCAUCAUAGAUAAAAGCUCUAUCGAUCAGUUACCAGGUACCAGGUCUAUGUAUAAACCGACGUUAAACAUUUUUAAUGAGCCGAAUUCGGACCUCUAAUUUAGUGAACUGAUUAGCAGUCCCAGUUUAGGGAACUGUACAAUUUUAUGUAUG